Asparagus officinalis (garden asparagus) is the source of this 470-nucleotide long non-coding RNA. RefSeq lists it as uncharacterized. The record is from RefSeq and is a predicted model, not a curated record. The transcript is spliced from 2 exons. Lineage: Eukaryota; Viridiplantae; Streptophyta; Magnoliopsida; Asparagales; Asparagaceae.
CACCAAACACUUCCCCUUCCUUCUAUGACGCCUCGACCUUGAAUUGUGAUGCCUCUCAGUUUUGUGAACUCGAGCCAUUGCAGCAACCCUGAUCCCCAAGCCUUCGGGCUUGUUGGAGCAAUGAUAAUCCCAUCCAACUGUGAACAAUAACGAGAUAAUGGCAACGUCAGUGCUAAAAUCGGUCUAUUGCUUAUGACAAUAAAUCUUCUGUACCCUUGGUUGCAGAAAAUUUUAAAUCUGCGGUUACGAUGCAAGUCAUAAUUAACAUGUAGAAUUUCUCGAGGAAGGAUGGACGAAGGAACGCACGUCAGGACCGCUUGUACAUUUUGCCGGUAAGUUUCUUUCAUUGUAAAAAGAGGACAAUAUAUGGGCCUUCUACUGUAUUAUAAUUAAUACACGAUGUGGUAAUUUUAACUUGUGCAUUUGAGUAUACGAUAAUGUGAAAGAGCGGGUGAGGACAGAAUGCUGCA